RNAcentral lists this long non-coding RNA (102 nucleotides) under Polistes fuscatus (common paper wasp). Its description in RNAcentral is "uncharacterized LOC122524885". The record is from RNAcentral. Lineage: Eukaryota; Metazoa; Arthropoda; Insecta; Hymenoptera; Vespidae.
CUGGUGGUAUGUGAGAGAAUCGUGGAGUGAGUGGGUGGGUGAUCAUCGUGGGAUUUAACAACAAAUCCUUGAAAUUUUCUCCUAUUUGAACGCUUCAAAUGA